This 683-nucleotide ribosomal RNA is filed under the name Debaryomyces hansenii. RNAcentral describes it as "partial large subunit ribosomal RNA". It matches the Rfam family "Eukaryotic large subunit ribosomal RNA", at positions 65 to 714 of the family's 3401-position model. The record is from RNAcentral. Lineage: Eukaryota; Fungi; Ascomycota; Pichiomycetes; Serinales; Debaryomycetaceae.
CCGGGCGGGUAGCACCUGACAAACGGCGAGUGAAGCGGCAAAAGCUCAAAUUUGAAAUCUGGCACCUUCGGUGUCCGAGUUGUAAUUUGAAGAAGGUAACUUUGGAGUUGGCUCUUGUCUAUGUUCCUUGGAACAGGACGUCACAGAGGGUGAGAAUCCCGUGCGAUGAGAUGCCCAAUUCUAUGUAAAGUGCUUUCGAAGAGUCGAGUUGUUUGGGAAUGCAGCUCUAAGUGGGUGGUAAAUUCCAUCUAAAGCUAAAUAUUGGCGAGAGACCGAUAGCGAACAAGUACAGUGAUGGAAAGAUGAAAAGAACUUUGAAAAGAGAGUGAAAAAGUACGUGAAAUUGUUGAAAGGGAAGGGCUUGAGAUCAGACUUGGUAUUUUGCGAUCCUUUCCUUCUUGGUUGGGUUCCUCGCAGCUUACUGGGCCAGCAUCGGUUUGGAUGGUAGGAUAAUGACUAAGGAAUGUGGCUCUACUUCGGUGGAGUGUUAUAGCCUUGGUUGAUACUGCCUGUCUAGACCGAGGACUGCGUCUUUUGACUAGGAUGUUGGCAUAAUGAUCUUAAGCCACCCCUCUUGAACAACCUUACCAAAAAAAAAAAUUUUUUUUUUUUUCUUUUUUUCUGCCGGAACCAAAGAGUCUAACAAUAUGUGCCCGUUCCGCGGGUGUUAAAACCUGCUCCUG